RNAcentral lists this ribosomal RNA (273 nucleotides) under uncultured Delftia sp. RNAcentral's name for it is "partial 16S ribosomal RNA". It matches the Rfam family "Bacterial small subunit ribosomal RNA", at positions 524 to 796 of the family's 1533-position model. Lineage: Bacteria; Pseudomonadati; Pseudomonadota; Betaproteobacteria; Burkholderiales; Comamonadaceae. The record is from RNAcentral.
UACGUAGGGUGCGAGCGUUAAUCGGAAUUACUGGGCGUAAAGCGUGCGCAGGCGGUUAUGUAAGACAGAUGUGAAAUCCCCGGGCUCAACCUGGGAACUGCAUUUGUGACUGCAUGGCUAGAGUACGGUAGAGGGGGAUGGAAUUCCGCGUGUAGCAGUGAAAUGCGUAGAUAUGCGGAGGAACACCGAUGGCGAAGGCAAUCCCCUGGACCUGUACUGACGCUCAUGCACGAAAGCGUGGGGAGCAAACAGGACUAGAAACCCUUGUAGUCC